This 259-nucleotide ribosomal RNA is filed under the name Chloropicon laureae. RNAcentral's name for it is "partial Eukaryotic large subunit ribosomal RNA". It matches the Rfam family "Eukaryotic large subunit ribosomal RNA", at positions 1451 to 1706 of the family's 3401-position model. Lineage: Eukaryota; Viridiplantae; Chlorophyta; Chloropicophyceae; Chloropicales; Chloropicaceae. The record is from RNAcentral.
UUGGUGGUAGUAGCAAAUAUUCAAUAGAGAACAUUGAAGACUGAAGUGGAGAAAGGUUUCACAUGAACAUCAAUUGUAUGUGAGUUAGUCGAUCCUAAACGGAGGGUUAAUUCCUAUAAAUGAAUAAUUUAUUAUUCUACACCGUGAAAGGGAAACAGGUUAAUAUUCCUGUACUAUAUCAAGGAGCGUUAAAGUGGUAACACAAAUGAUCUCAGAAACAUUGGUAGAAUAACCAGGAAGAGUUCUCUUUUCUUUUUAA